This 319-nucleotide small nucleolar RNA is filed under the name Monodon monoceros (narwhal). Its description in RNAcentral is "Small Cajal body-specific RNA 7 (ENSMMNG00015000604.1)". It matches the Rfam family "Small Cajal body-specific RNA 7". Lineage: Eukaryota; Metazoa; Chordata; Mammalia; Artiodactyla; Monodontidae. The record is from Rfam by way of RNAcentral.
UGGAAAUGAUGAAAUAGAGAUAAUUGGGUGUUGAAUGUUGUAUGAUUGGAAGAUUUUAAUACGUAAGUAAUCUAAGUUUAAUAUUUUUUAGCUAUUUGUUAGAGUGUGUGUGCAUGUGUGUGUGCUUGUGGAGGCUAUGAAAAGGGGGCACUGACUGGUGAUGCUGACGUUGGAGUGCAUCUGAGGCUGUUGUAGAAAUACAUGGGUUGUUGAUUACAACAUUGCCGAUGAUUAUAACCCAAGAACAGCUCACCUAAGUAGCCUAGCACCCUAAAAUCUCUAACAGGUUCAUUAAACAUGAUCCUGUGAUCUGAUCCAA